This 1554-nucleotide ribosomal RNA is filed under the name Klebsiella pneumoniae. RNAcentral's name for it is "bacterial SSU rRNA". It matches the Rfam family "Bacterial small subunit ribosomal RNA". The record is from RNAcentral. Lineage: Bacteria; Pseudomonadati; Pseudomonadota; Gammaproteobacteria; Enterobacterales; Enterobacteriaceae.
ACUUAAAUUGAAGAGUUUGAUCAUGGCUCAGAUUGAACGCUGGCGGCAGGCCUAACACAUGCAAGUCGAGCGGUAGCACAGAGAGCUUGCUCUCGGGUGACGAGCGGCGGACGGGUGAGUAAUGUCUGGGAAACUGCCUGAUGGAGGGGGAUAACUACUGGAAACGGUAGCUAAUACCGCAUAAUGUCGCAAGACCAAAGUGGGGGACCUUCGGGCCUCAUGCCAUCAGAUGUGCCCAGAUGGGAUUAGCUAGUAGGUGGGGUAAUGGCUCACCUAGGCGACGAUCCCUAGCUGGUCUGAGAGGAUGACCAGCCACACUGGAACUGAGACACGGUCCAGACUCCUACGGGAGGCAGCAGUGGGGAAUAUUGCACAAUGGGCGCAAGCCUGAUGCAGCCAUGCCGCGUGUGUGAAGAAGGCCUUCGGGUUGUAAAGCACUUUCAGCGGGGAGGAAGGCGAUAAGGUUAAUAACCUUAGCGAUUGACGUUACCCGCAGAAGAAGCACCGGCUAACUCCGUGCCAGCAGCCGCGGUAAUACGGAGGGUGCAAGCGUUAAUCGGAAUUACUGGGCGUAAAGCGCACGCAGGCGGUCUGUCAAGUCGGAUGUGAAAUCCCCGGGCUCAACCUGGGAACUGCAUUCGAAACUGGCAGGCUAGAGUCUUGUAGAGGGGGGUAGAAUUCCAGGUGUAGCGGUGAAAUGCGUAGAGAUCUGGAGGAAUACCGGUGGCGAAGGCGGCCCCCUGGACAAAGACUGACGCUCAGGUGCGAAAGCGUGGGGAGCAAACAGGAUUAGAUACCCUGGUAGUCCACGCCGUAAACGAUGUCGAUUUGGAGGUUGUGCCCUUGAGGCGUGGCUUCCGGAGCUAACGCGUUAAAUCGACCGCCUGGGGAGUACGGCCGCAAGGUUAAAACUCAAAUGAAUUGACGGGGGCCCGCACAAGCGGUGGAGCAUGUGGUUUAAUUCGAUGCAACGCGAAGAACCUUACCUGGUCUUGACAUCCACAGAACUUUCCAGAGAUGGAUUGGUGCCUUCGGGAACUGUGAGACAGGUGCUGCAUGGCUGUCGUCAGCUCGUGUUGUGAAAUGUUGGGUUAAGUCCCGCAACGAGCGCAACCCUUAUCCUUUGUUGCCAGCGGUUAGGCCGGGAACUCAAAGGAGACUGCCAGUGAUAAACUGGAGGAAGGUGGGGAUGACGUCAAGUCAUCAUGGCCCUUACGACCAGGGCUACACACGUGCUACAAUGGCAUAUACAAAGAGAAGCGACCUCGCGAGAGCAAGCGGACCUCAUAAAGUAUGUCGUAGUCCGGAUUGGAGUCUGCAACUCGACUCCAUGAAGUCGGAAUCGCUAGUAAUCGUAGAUCAGAAUGCUACGGUGAAUACGUUCCCGGGCCUUGUACACACCGCCCGUCACACCAUGGGAGUGGGUUGCAAAAGAAGUAGGUAGCUUAACCUUCGGGAGGGCGCUUACCACUUUGUGAUUCAUGACUGGGGUGAAGUCGUAACAAGGUAACCGUAGGGGAACCUGCGGUUGGAUCACCUCCUUACCUUAAAGAA